UACGUAGGGGGCAAGCGUUGUUCGGAAUUACUGGGCGUAAAGGGCGCGUAGGCGGCAUGGCAAGUCGGGAGUGAAAGCCCGGGGCUCAACCCCGGAACGGCUUUCGAAACUGCCAAGCUAGAGUACGGAAGGGGCAACUGGAAUUCCCAGUGUAGCGGUGAAAUGCGUAGAUAUCUGGAGGAAUACCGGUGGCGAAGGCGGCAUCCUGGACCGGCAUUGACGCUGAGGAGCGAAAGCCAGGGGAGCAAACGGG
Molecule: ribosomal RNA, 253 nt
Filed under: uncultured bacterium
Lineage: Bacteria
Description: partial 16S ribosomal RNA
Rfam family: Bacterial small subunit ribosomal RNA
Source: RNAcentral